CAGCAGCCCACAAAUCUGAACACUAACCAGCCCUGUAACUGGUCCCCACCUCCCACACACUUUUCAUCACCCACUUGCACACAACAUCUGGGGCCUCUAUUUCCACCCUACUAUCCUGUGAGCUCACUGCCCAGAUUCCGUGUCCAACGAUACUCAGAGAGCCGGUAUCCUCAGGAGGAUGCACUAUGGGGAAUCCAGGAAUACCUGCUAGAGACCAGGCAUGCAGGAAACCUGGACAUUUCUGUGGCAAAGAACCCAAGAGAUGCUGACACCAACUUUCUUCUUGACAGAGAGGGAAGCACACAGCUCUGGGGGCCUUCUAGAGUCACGGCCCUCGCUCACCAGGAGAUUAACCCGUCAGGCUGUCGAGUGAGAAGGGACGGAGCAGACCCUGACAGGAGGCCCGCAAUGCAGGGGAAAUCAAAACAAAUCCACCUGCUCAGGGAAGACUUUUUCGACACCUCGUCCCCCUACGGACAUCUGUGGCAAGUGUCAUCGCGACCACUGGUGUGGCACUGGAUCAUUUAUGACUGCCUCAUGACAUUAUUUUUCACUGUUGUCUUUGUAUUGUUGUUUGACGACUUUGUGUAAUGGUCUCUUCUCACUCCGCAAAUAAACUGCAGCACCUGGCA
Molecule: long non-coding RNA, 632 nt
Organism: Acinonyx jubatus (cheetah)
Lineage: Eukaryota; Metazoa; Chordata; Mammalia; Carnivora; Felidae
Exons: 3
Source: RefSeq, a predicted model, not a curated record